CAAAGGUUUGGUCCUGACUUUACUAUCAGCUUUAACCCGACUUACACAUGCAAGCCUCCGCACCCCUGUGAGGAUGCCCUCAAUCCCCCGUCCGGGGACGAGGAGCUGGUAUCAGGCACACGAUUUUAAGCCCAAGACGCCUUGCUUAGCCACACCCCCAAGGGAACUCUUCAGCAGUGAUAAACAUUAAGCCAUAAGUGAAAACUUGACUUAGUUAGGGUUAAGAGGGCCGGUAAAACUCGUGCCAGCCACCGCGGUUAUACGAGGGACCCUAGUUGAUUUAAUCGGCGUAAAGAGUGGUUAUGGAGAAUAAGAAACUAAAGCCGAAGACCUCUUAGGCCGUCAUACGUACCUAGAGGCUCGAAUAACAAACACGAAAGUAGCUUUACCCCUUCCUGCCAGAACCCACGAGAGCUGGGAUACAAACUGGGAUUAGAUACCCCACUAUGCCCUGCCGUAAACUUAGAUAUUUCAAUACAAUAGAUAUCCGCCAGGGGACUACGAGCGCUAGCUUAAAACCCAAAGGACUUGGCGGUGCUUCAGACCCCCCUAGAGGAGCCUGUUCUAGAACCGAUAACCCCCGUUCAACCUCACUACUCCUUGCUUUUCCCGCCUAUAUACCCACCGUCGCCAGCUUUACCCUGUGAAGGAACUACAGUAAGCAGGAUGAGCAUUGCUCAAAACGUCAGGUCGAGGUGUAGCGUACGAAGUAGGAAGAAAUGGGCUACAUUGUCUGAACCAGAUCAUUCACGGAAAGUUGUCUGAAACGACCACUCGAAGGUGGAUUUAGCAGUAAAGGGGGAAUAGAGCGCCCCCUUGAAGCCGGCUCUGAAGCGCGCACACACCGCCCGUCACUCUCCCCGACAACUACUCACACCAAAGUAAGUAACGCAAUAUUUGUCACAAGGGGAGGCAAGUCGUAACAUGGUAAGUGUACCGGAAGGUGCACUUGGAAUAAU
Molecule: non-coding RNA, 959 nt
Filed under: Sardinops melanosticta
Lineage: Eukaryota; Metazoa; Chordata; Actinopteri; Clupeiformes; Clupeidae
Description: Sardinops melanostictus 12S rRNA
Rfam family: Bacterial small subunit ribosomal RNA
Source: RNAcentral